CAAAACUCACAUAAGUAACAUAUUAUCAAAUAGAACUGGAAAUAGUGAGAAUAAACUUAAUGCACAUGAUACUCUGUGGAAUAUAUGUACUAAAAACGAGUUUUAUAGUAAUGCCAGUUUGUCACCUCUGAACAUGUUUUUUUUAUUAAGUCAAAAAAACAAGAAAUUGAAACAAAACGAAACGAAUUUUUUUAUUAAUCAGGAAUAUACUGAGACUGGAGUCGAUGAAGAAAAUGGUUGCAUGAAUUCCAACCAUGAUAAACAAAUUUGUAAUAUAAGUUCUACUGAUGAUAAAAAUAUUUUUUUUUCAUUUUUAAACAUUUUUAAAGAACAAUAUUUGUUCAAAACUAACGUUUUUAAAAAUAUUUUUCUUUUUUAUUUAAGAAAACAUUAUUUUUUAAUUUGUAAUAAAUUAAAAAACGAUACCGAUUUUAAUGAACUUCAAAAAAGAUUAUUUAAUUAUAUUUAUAAUAAUUAUAUACAAAAAAUAUCAAUAUUUGAUAUAAAUAAUUAUUUUAUAGAUUGCUGUUUUUUAUGUAAAGAGGAGUUUAGGUUUGAUUAUUCUUAUGAAUAUAAUGACUUUUAUUACACUGACGUCGUUUCGAUAGAUCUGAAUAAUAUGAUGGUGCAACCAAACGAAGGACAAAUAGACCAAUGUGUAGCUAAACAAUCAAAACCACUAACUGUAGUAGAUGUUAAAAAAAUUAAUAAAUCAAAUGAAGAAAGUAGUAUAUAUAAUAACAAAAUUUACGACAUAUUUGAUAAACAAAUGGCUGAAACACAUCAUGUAUUUAAUAAGAUAGAAAAUUGUUUAAAAGUAGAUGAGUGUAUAAUGGAAUAUGGGCUGAACGAUGUGAACAUGUCCGAAGAUACGUGUACCCAAACAAGUGCACUCGAUUUAUCGUCCUAUAUGUCCGUAAAAAUGAAUAGCCUUAUUGAAAAUGUAAAAACAUUAUUAGAUAAUAAUUGUGCUUUUCAAAAAACGGUUAUAGAAUCAAGUAUAGAUUAUAAUUACUUAAUAAAAAAUAAAAACAGUAAUAACACUACUGGUGGUAGUAAAACUAGCAAAAACAAACAAAAAAAAAAAAAACAAACAAAUAAUUCGGUUAAUUGUUAUAAUUAUUUAUUUACCAAAUUUUGUUUGCCAUAUGAAACUUUAAACAUGUUACACACUAUACAAAAGAAAAAUGAAAAUAAAAACAAAACAGAUGAUUAUUAUCAAAUAAGUCAUGAUAAUAUGGCACAGGAGGAGCAUACCAAUGGAAAUGUAUGCAUUGAUGAAGAAUGUCCAAAUGAAGAAAUCUCAAAUUAUGUAAUACAGUUAGACACAUUGACAGAAGAAAUAACACAGUCUGUUUUAAAAAAUAACUACGAUAAUAAUAUUGAAAUAAAAAAAAACCGAAAUAAAUUUAAAGAUAUAAUGGAAUGUUAUAUAUAUGAUGAUAAUAAUAAAAAAAGUGAUCAUAAUUAUAUCCAUUUUCCUUCUAAAAAUUAUACAUAUACAAAACCUACUUAUUUUCAUAAUUCAUGUUUUAAAAAUUAUAUAGAAUAUUAUAUAUUUCCUUAUUAUUUUUUAAAAAAAUUAAAUGAUGAAUAUUUAAAUAAAAUAAUUAUAUCUUCGAUUAUAACACUUUUUAAGGCUUACCAAAAUACAUGCAAAUAUGCAAAUAAUGACAAACAAAACAGUGAAAUCAAAUUAGAAAAAACACGUAGGUGCAAGUACAAAAGAAGGAAGCGGUUCUAGUCUAAUUGGUAGUAUAGCUGAGACAGAAUGAUGGAAGAAGUAACAACCAUGGUGAAGUAUUAUUACCAGCAUGUGAGAUAACAAACGUUUUUUUUUUUUUUUUUUUUUUUUUUGACACCGUUUUUUUUUGUAAUUGGUUUAAAUAAUUAAAAAAAAAUAAGCAAAAUGUUUAUUCAUAAAUUAUUUUUGUUUUUGUACAUAAAACAAAAGCAUGCUAAUUGUGUAAGAAAUAUUU
This 1979-nucleotide long non-coding RNA is filed under the name Piliocolobus tephrosceles (Ugandan red Colobus). RNAcentral's name for it is "lncRNA (ENSPTEG00000007717.1)". The record is from RNAcentral. Lineage: Eukaryota; Metazoa; Chordata; Mammalia; Primates; Cercopithecidae.